This is a long non-coding RNA of Gossypium raimondii (Peruvian cotton), 468 nucleotides long. RefSeq lists it as uncharacterized. The transcript is spliced from 3 exons. The record is from RefSeq and is a predicted model, not a curated record. NCBI's taxonomy places the organism in Eukaryota, Viridiplantae, Streptophyta, Magnoliopsida, Malvales, Malvaceae.
AUAGCUUAAGUGACUAAAGUGGAGGGAUUUAAAAGGCAAUUAGGCCCAAAUUAUAUGGGCUGGACGGUUGGGUAAGAAAAAUCAGCAGAAUGUAAGGAGAAACAGGGGCAAAAUUGGAAACUUAACAAAUUAAACAUUUAAAACAAAGACAAAAGUGAAAAAUCUAGAGAUCUCUUCACAAUUUAUCAGCAAAAACGCCAUAGGAGGUCUGGAAUAAGCUGGUUUUUCAUAUUUUUGAAUCAUAUCGAGAACCCGAAACAAGUCGAGGAAAAGAAAAAGUAGCCGAUUAGUCCCUGAACUUUUACAAAUUCUGCAAAUCGAUCCAGAUUAACGUAUUUAUACAUUCGGAGGAUCGGAUCUACAUCAAGAAUCACACUAUCCAGAUAUACUCCGGUAGUUUAUGUUAAGCAACUUUUUGGAUUUAUAUGGCAUGUAUAGGGAAUUGAAGUAAAAGUAAAUUUGAAUGUU